UACGGAGGAUGCGAGCGUUAUCCGGAUUUAUUGGGUUUAGAGGGUGCGUAGGCGGACUGUCAAGUCAGCGGUAAAAUUGAGAGGCUCAACCUCUUCCCGCCGUUGAAACUGGUGGUCUUGAGUGGAUGAGAAGUACGCGGAAUGCGUGGUGAAGCGGUGAAAUGCAUAGAUAUCACGCAGAACUCCGAUUGCGAAGGCAGCGUACCGGCAUCCAACUGACGCUGAGGCACGAAAGCGUGGGGAUCAAACAGG
Molecule: ribosomal RNA, 252 nt
Filed under: uncultured bacterium
Lineage: Bacteria
Description: partial 16S ribosomal RNA
Rfam family: Bacterial small subunit ribosomal RNA
Source: RNAcentral